RNAcentral lists this ribosomal RNA (1407 nucleotides) under uncultured Coxiella sp. Its description in RNAcentral is "bacterial SSU rRNA". It matches the Rfam family "Bacterial small subunit ribosomal RNA". The record is from RNAcentral. Lineage: Bacteria; Pseudomonadati; Pseudomonadota; Gammaproteobacteria; Legionellales; Coxiellaceae.
UAUGCUUCCUGGCGGCGAGUGGCGGACGGGUGAGUAAUACGUAGGAAUCUACCUUAUAGAGGGGGACAACCUGGGGGAAACUCGGGCUAAUACUGCAUGAUCUCUAUGGAGUAGCGGGGAUCUUCUGGACCUCGCGCUAUAAGAUGAGCCAUGUCGGAUUAGCUUGCUGGUGGGGUAAUUGCCUACUAAAGGCGACGAUCCGUAGCUGGUCUGAGAGGAUGAUCAGCCACACUGGGACUGAGACACGGCCCAGACUCCUACGGGAGGCAGCAGGGGAAUCUUGGACAAUGGGGGAAACCCCUGAUCCAGCAAUGCCGCGUGUGUGAAGAAGGCCCUCGGGUUGUAAAGCACUUUCAGUAGGGAAGAAGUUCUCAAGAGUAAUAUACUUGAGCGUUGACGUUACCUACAGAAGAAGCACUGGCUAACUCUCUGCGCCAGCAGCCGCGGUAAUACAGCAGUGCGAGUUGGAAUCACUGGGCGUAAAGAGCGCGUAGGUGGAUAUUUAAGUCGGAUGUGAAAGCCUCAGGCUUAACCUAGGAACUGCACUCGAUACUGAGAGUUUUCGAGUAUGGUAGAGGGAAGUGGAAUUUUCGGUGUAGCGGUGAAAUGCGUAGACAUCGGAAAGAACACCAGUGGCGAAGGCGGCUUCCUGGACCAAUACUGACACUGAGAAAAACAGCGUAAAGCAAACAGGAUUAGAGACCCUGGUAGUCCACGUCAACGAUGAGAACUAGCUGUUGGAGAGUUUACUUUCAGUAGCGAAGCUAACGCGUUAAGUUCUCCGCUCAGAGUACGGCCGCAAGGUUAAAACUCAAAGAAAUUGACGGGGGGCCCGCACAAGCGGUGGAGCAUGUGGUUUAAUUCGAUGCAACGCGAAAACCUUACCUUUGACAUCCUCAGAACUUGUCAGAAAAUGACUUGGUGCCUUCGGGAACUGAGUGACAGGUGCUGCAUGGCCGUCGUCAGCUCGUGUCGUGAGAUGUUGGGUUAAGUCCCGUAACGAGCGCAACCCUCGUCCCAGGUUGCCAGCGGUUCAGUCGGAACUCUAUGAGACUGCCGGUGAUAAACCGAGGAAGGUGGGGAUGAUGUCAAGUCAUCAUGGCCCUUACGGGUAGGGCUCACACACGUGCUACAAUGGGCAGCGUACAAAGGGUUGCCAAACCAUAAGGUGGAGCCAAUCCCAAAACUGCUCUUAGUCCGGAUUGAAGUCUGCAACUCGACUUCAUGAAGCUGGAAUCGCUGGGGUAAUCGCGAACUAGAAUGUCGCGGUGAAUACGUUCUCGGGCCUUGACGACACCGCCCGUCAGUUCAUGGGGAGGAAUUGUACCAGAAGCGGGUAGUUGAACUCGUGGAGGCCGCUCACCACGGUGUGGUUCAUGACUGUACGGUGAAGUAACAAGGUAAACG